RNAcentral lists this unclassified non-coding RNA (378 nucleotides) under plant metagenome. RNAcentral describes it as "partial contains 5.8S ribosomal RNA, internal transcribed spacer 2, and large subunit ribosomal RNA". The stretch from base 1 to 105 matches the Rfam family "5.8S ribosomal RNA", at positions 50 to 154 of the family's 154-position model. The record is from RNAcentral.
GAAAUGCGAUAAGUAAUGUGAAUUGCAGAAUUCAGUGACUCAUCGAAUCUUUGAACGCACCUUGCGCUCCUUGGUAUUCCUUGGAGCAUGCCUGUUUGAGUAUCAUGAAAUCUUCAAAGUAAAUCUUUUGUUAACUCAAUUGGUUUCUACUUUGGUAUUGGAGGUCUUUGCAGCUUCACACCUGCUCCUCUUUGUUCAUUAGCUGGAUCUCAGUGUUAUGCUUGGUUCCACUCGGCGUGAUAAGUUAUCUAUCGCUGAGGACACUGUAAAAGGUGGCCAAGGUAAAUGCAGAUGAACCGCUUCUAAUAGUCCAUUGACUUGGACAAUACUUUUAUGAUCUGAUCUCAAAUCAGGUAGGACUACCCGCUGAACUUAAGC